GACGAACGCUGGCGGCGUGCCUAAUACAUGCAAGUCGAGCGGACUGAUUAAGAGCUUGCUCUUAUGACGUUAGCGGCGGACGGGUGAGUAACACGUGGGCAACCUGCCCUGUAGAUCGGGAUAACACCGAGAAAUCGGUGCUAAUACCGGGUAAUAUCUGAGAUCACAUGAUCUUAGGUUAAAAGAUGGCUCCGGCUAUCACUACAGGAUGGGCCCGCGGCGCAUUAGCUAGUUGGUAAGGUAAUGGCUUACCAAGGCGACGAUGCGUAGCCGACCUGAGAGGGUGAUCGGCCACACUGGGACUGAGACACGGCCCAGACUCCUACGGGAGGCAGCAGUAGGGAAUCUUCCGCAAUGGACGAAAGUCUGACGGAGCAACGCCGCGUGAGUGAUGAAGGGUUUCGGCUCGUAAAGCUCUGUUGUUAGGGAAGAAACAGUACCGAACGAACUAGGUCGGUACCUUGACGGUACCUAACCAGAAAGCCACGGCUAACUACGUGC
RNAcentral lists this ribosomal RNA (501 nucleotides) under uncultured bacterium. Its description in RNAcentral is "partial 16S ribosomal RNA". It matches the Rfam family "Bacterial small subunit ribosomal RNA", at positions 28 to 508 of the family's 1533-position model. The record is from RNAcentral.